This 22-nucleotide microRNA is filed under the name Oryza sativa (Asian cultivated rice). RNAcentral describes it as "osa-miR2865". The record is from miRBase by way of RNAcentral. Lineage: Eukaryota; Viridiplantae; Streptophyta; Magnoliopsida; Poales; Poaceae.
CUCAGCAGUCGACUGUACCGUG